ACCUCAGUGGUUUAAUGGUAGCACGCGUCUCCGUUAAGGAUGAAACACUCGUUCGACUCCCGUCUGAGGUG
This is a non-coding RNA of Parelaphostrongylus tenuis, 71 nucleotides long. The record is from the annotation of a GenBank genome assembly. NCBI's taxonomy places the organism in Eukaryota, Metazoa, Nematoda, Chromadorea, Rhabditida, Metastrongylidae.